This 339-nucleotide ribosomal RNA is filed under the name Oxyrrhis marina. RNAcentral's name for it is "partial Bacterial large subunit ribosomal RNA". It matches the Rfam family "Bacterial large subunit ribosomal RNA", at positions 497 to 838 of the family's 2925-position model. Lineage: Eukaryota; Dinophyceae; Oxyrrhinales; Oxyrrhinaceae. The record is from RNAcentral.
AGUACCGUGAGGGAAAGGCGAAAAGAACCCCGGAGAGGGGAGUGAAAUAGAUCCUGAAACCGUAUGCGUACAAGCAGUGGGAGCACCUUCGGGUGUGACUGCGUACCUUUUGUAUAAUGGGUCAGCGAGUUACUUUGACGAGCAAGCCUAAGCCGUUAGGCGUAAGCGAAGCGAAAGCGAGUCUGAAUAGGGCGACGUAGUUAGUAGUAGUAGACGCGAAACCCGGUGAUCUACCCAUGACCAGGUUGAAGUUGCAGUAACAUGCAAUGGAGGACCGAACCAGUAAACGUUGAAAAGUUUUUGGAUGAGUUGUGGGUAGGGGUGAAAGGCCAAUCAAAC